Molecule: ribosomal RNA, 96 nt
Filed under: Alnus maritima
Lineage: Eukaryota; Viridiplantae; Streptophyta; Magnoliopsida; Fagales; Betulaceae
Source: RNAcentral
UGCACCGGAUCCCAUCAGAACUCCGCAGUUAAGCGUGCUUGGGCGAGAGUAGUACUAGGAUGGGUGACCUCCUGGGUAGUCCUCGUGUUGCACCCC